Molecule: long non-coding RNA, 1991 nt
Organism: Frieseomelitta varia
Lineage: Eukaryota; Metazoa; Arthropoda; Insecta; Hymenoptera; Apidae
Exons: 3
Source: RefSeq, a predicted model, not a curated record
AAACCAAAAGAGAAAAGAAACUUUGCACGCGCGUAUAUAGACACAAAAAAAAGAAAGAAAAAAAAAGAAAUCAGACAUACGUAUACAGAGGUGGAGACAAAUUUGACGCACGCGUUUGGUACAGAAAUUCGAAUAAAAUCGAGUACAACGAUGAUGGAACAGCGUACAUAGGGAGAGGACGAUAGAGAAAGAGGAAUCGUGUAACGUCUCCGAUAAAACCGGCCUUGCGGGAACGAACGGACACACGAGGCCAGCGAUAUACUCGCAAAACGGAAGACACGCUCGCGUGCGCGCGCACGCAAACGAGGCUCGUCCAUGCGCGGACGUCGUGUGGCUCGCUGCCCGCUGAUAACACACGAUACGUUUGACCCGGCCAGCUUCUAUGAAAAACGACACAAAAGGAAAAACAUCGACCUGCGUCUCGGUGGAUAUCCGUAAUUCGCACCGUGGAGAUGCACGACCAGAGGAGACCAGAGGAGGAAUAGGAGGAGGGAUGCCCGGGGGGGUGGUGGCGGCGGAGGGAGAAGUGAUUUUCCAACGGUCGUCGGCAUAGUAGUGCAUGCGCGGCGCGUCGCGACGCGGCGCCUCGCGGUGAAAGAGUAAGAAGUAGCGAUUUCGUCCUCUCCUCGGUUUCUUCCCGUGCGUGUUUCUCCUCGUAGACGUCGGGCUCUCUUGUGCUACAUUCUUACGCGUUCCCUCCUUCUUGCCUUGAUAACCGUCCUGUGGUCGACGGACCACCGUCCUUUCUUCCUCCUUUUCCUCCUCCUCCUUCUCCUCUUCCUCUUCUUCUUUUCGUUCUUUUCCGUUCCGCGUUAUCGUUUCCUCUCGUCGAAACUCUCUCUUUUCCCCCCCUCCCUCUCCCGCUCCUCGUUGAUAAUUCCCCUUUUUUCUUCCCUGUUCGUCACGAGACACGACGUAUACACACAUACGUACAUAUUGUACGUAUAUACAUGCGUGUGUAUAGUCUAGUCUCCUAAAAACCACCACCUCCCCACGCCACCGUUCUCUCUGGUUCUCUCCUCUCCUCUCUCCGGUGUGUUAGAGUGUGUUGAGAGAUUUCCGCCGGUGUGUCGACUGGAUUCACUUGGUACGCGUUUCCUCGCGCCUCGAGUCAGAGAGACGGGAAGCUUUCCGGGGGCUGCGUGUGUAUUUUCGUGCGUCGCGCGGGGUCUCGUGCUUCGUUAGGUCGCGCCGCGCGAAACCUAACGUUUCUUGGGAGGCUGCUGUUUCUUCUCGCUUCUCUGUUCUUUCGUCGUCGUCGUCCUCGGUGUGCAGCAGCGGCGACAAGCGGCGGCAGCCAGCAACACACGGCGACGAGCGGGCGUCCGUGACACGAUCCAGGGGAAUCGAGCGAUCCGUUUGUUCGUGGUUGCAAGUAUAACGAGUGCUUCGAAACGCGCGAAUAAAUGUGUCGGUCACGGUACAAGACGUGAAGCGGGGGAAAUACACGGCAAGUGAGUAUAUUUUUAGUAGCAAGCGCCAAGCGCUAAAGGCAGAAGUGGUAUAAACGGCGCGCAGUGGCCUGAUGAAGCGGCGUAUGUGACAUCAAAUUUCUCUCUCUUGCCACCUCGACGAGACACCCGAGACAUCUUGCAGACCAUCAGCGCGCGGUGAGUAUUGCCCCGAACCGAUUGAUUCGCCAUUCCGCAAACAGUCACCGCCGCCGCCGCCGCCGCCGCCGCCACUACCACCCCCAGCACCCCUCCGCCCAUCGAUGCCCACCCAAUCCACCAUCUCCUCCGCAGGCUAGUCCAUCUCUCUCUCUCUCUCUCUCUCUCUCUCUCUCUCUCUCUCUCUCUUCACCCCUCCAAUCCUCCAAUUCGUGCUCGUGUGCCUUCUGCUUCUUACACUUUUACACGCAUGUACCAUGGAUACACGUGUAGCACACGAAAGCUCUGAAAUUCCAUAUUUUCGUCCCUCUUCCGGAUACUUUUAUAUUCUCGAAUUUUAUUUUUCCCCUUACAUAUGCAUAUAGCAGUCUAGAAAAUUCU